This 902-nucleotide ribosomal RNA is filed under the name uncultured Thermoprotei archaeon. RNAcentral describes it as "bacterial SSU rRNA". It matches the Rfam family "Archaeal small subunit ribosomal RNA", at positions 42 to 920 of the family's 1478-position model. The record is from RNAcentral. Lineage: Archaea; Thermoproteati; Thermoproteota; Thermoprotei.
GACUAAGACAUGCUAGUCGUGCGCUUCAAGCCACUGUGGAGGCGCGGCGCACAGCUCAGUAACACGUGGCUAACCUACCCUUGGGACGGAAACAACCCCGGGAAACUGGGGCUAAUUUCCGAUAGGUGAAGACUCCUGGAAUGGAUCUUCGCCCAAAAGGCGUUUAGACCAUGCUUCUAAGCGCUGCCCAAGGAUGGGGCCGCGGCCGAUCAGGUAGUUGGUGAGGUAACGGCUCACCAAGCCUAUAACCGGUUCGGGCCGUGAGAGCGGGAGCCCGGAGAUGGGCACUGAGACAAGGGCCCAGGCCCUACGGGGCGCAGCAGUCGCGAAACCUCCGCAAUACGCGAAAGCGUGACGGGGCCAUCCCGAGUGCCGUCCGCUGAGGAUGGCUUUUCCCCAGUGUAGAUAGCUGGGGGAAUAAGGAGAGGGCAAGUCUGGUGUCAGCCGCCGCGGUAAUACCAGCUCUCCGAGUGGUGGGGAUGUUUAUUGGGCUUAAAGCAUCCGUAGCCGGCUGGGCAAGUCCCCUGUUAAAUCUAACGAUUCAAUCGUUGGAUUGCGGGGGAUACUGCUCGGCUAGGGGGCGGGAGAGGCCGACGGUAUUCCCGGGGUAGGGGUGAAAUCCUAUAAUCCCGGGAGGACCACCAGUGGCGAAGGCUGUCGGCUAGAACGCGCCCGACGGUGAGGGAUGAAAGCUGGGGGAGCGAACCGGAUUAGAUACCCGGGUAGUCCCAGCUGUAAACGAUGCAGGCUAGGUGUUCGGGCGGCCACGUGCCGCUCGAGUGCCGCAGGGAAACUGUUAAGCCUGCCGCCUGGGGAGUACGGCCGCAAGGCUGAAACUUAAAGGAAUUGGCGGGGGAGCACCACAAGGGGUGAAGCUUGCGGUUUAAUUGGAGUCAACGCCG